UACGUAGGUGGCGAGCGUUGUUCGGAUUCAUUGGGCGUAAAGGGUCCGCAGGGGGUAGAUUAAGUCUGAUGUGAAAUCCCUGAGCUUAACUCAGGAACUGCAUUGGAGACUGGUCUACUAGAGUAUCGGAGAGGAGAUUGGAAUUCCAGGUGUAGCGGUGGAAUGCGUAGAUAUCUGGAAGAACACCGAAAGCGAAGGCAGAUCUCUGGACGAUUACUGACCCUCAGGGACGAAAGCGUGGGGAGCAAACAGGAUUAGAUACCCUGGUAGUCCACGCCCUAAACGGUGUAAACUUGAUGUGAGAGGUUUUACUCCUUCUCGUGUCGAAGCUAACGCGAUAAGUUUACCGCCUGGGAACUACGGCCGCAAGGCUAAA
RNAcentral lists this ribosomal RNA (376 nucleotides) under uncultured bacterium. RNAcentral's name for it is "bacterial SSU rRNA". It matches the Rfam family "Bacterial small subunit ribosomal RNA", at positions 524 to 898 of the family's 1533-position model. The record is from RNAcentral.